GUCCACGCUGUAAACGUUGGGCGCUAGGUGUGGGGGACCUCUCCGGUUCUCUGUGCCGCAGCUAACGCAUUAAGCGCCCCGCCUGGGGAGUACGGCCGCAAGGCUAAAACUCAAAGGAAUUGACGGGGGCCCCGCACAAGCGGCGGAGCAUGCGGAUUAAUUCGAUGCAACGCGAAGAACCUUACCUGGGUUUGACAUGGCCGCAAAACUGUCAGAGAUGGCAGGUCCUUCGGGGCGGUCGACAGGUGGUGCAUGGCUGUCGU
This 263-nucleotide ribosomal RNA is filed under the name uncultured bacterium. RNAcentral's name for it is "partial 16S ribosomal RNA". It matches the Rfam family "Bacterial small subunit ribosomal RNA", at positions 793 to 1055 of the family's 1533-position model. The record is from RNAcentral.